Molecule: transfer RNA, 83 nt
Filed under: Streptomyces sp. Ag109_O5-1
Lineage: Bacteria; Bacillati; Actinomycetota; Actinomycetes; Kitasatosporales; Streptomycetaceae
Also listed under: 2 other names
Description: tRNA-Leu
Rfam family: tRNA
About the family: Transfer RNA (tRNA) molecules are approximately 80 nucleotides in length.
Source: RNAcentral
GCGGCGGUGGCGCAACGGCGACGCAGCAGGUUUAGGUCCUGUGGCCCUUAACGGGCUUGAGGGUUCGAAUCCCUUCCGCCGCA